RNAcentral lists this ribosomal RNA (447 nucleotides) under uncultured bacterium. RNAcentral's name for it is "bacterial SSU rRNA". It matches the Rfam family "Bacterial small subunit ribosomal RNA", at positions 328 to 792 of the family's 1533-position model. The record is from RNAcentral.
GGUCCAGACUCCUACGGGAGGCAGCAGUGAGGGAUAUUGGUCAAUGGGGGAAACCCUGAACCAGCAACGCCGCGUGAGGGAAGACGGUUUUCGGAUUGUAAACCUCUGUCCUCUGUGAAGAUGAUGACGGUACCCACAGAGGAAGCACCGGCUAACUCCGUGCCAGCAGCCGCGGUAAUACGGAGGGUGCAAGCGUUGUCCGGAAUCAUUGGGCGUAAAGAGUUCGUAGGCGGUACGUUAAGUCUGGUGUUAAAUGCAGAAGCUCAACUUCUGUUCGGCACUGGAUACUGGCAAACUAGAAUGCGGUAGAGGUAAAGGGAAUUCCUGGUGUAGCGGUGAAAUGCUUAGAUAUCAGGAGGAACAUCGGUGGCGUAAGCGCUUUACUGGGCCGUAAUUGACGCUGAGGAACGAAAGCCAGGGUAGCAAAUGGGAUUAGAUGCCCUCGUA